AUUGAACGCUGGCGGCAUGCUUUACACAUGCAAGUCGAACGGCAGCGCGGGCUUCGGCCUGGCGGCGAGUGGCGAACGGGUGAGUAAUGCAUCGGAACGUGCCCAGUAGUGGGGGAUAGCCCGGCGAAAGCCGGAUUAAUACCGCAUACGACCUGAGGGUGAAAGCGGGGGACCGAAAGGCCUCGCGCUAUUGGAGCGGCCGAUGUCGGAUUAGCUAGUUGGUGGGGUAAAGGCUUACCAAGGCGACGAUCCGUAGCUGGUCUGAGGGGACGACCAGCCACACUGGGACUGAGACACGGCCCAGACUCCUACGGGAGGCAGCAGUGGGGAAUUUUGGACAAUGGGGGGAACCCUGAUCCAGCCAUGCCGCGUGCGGGAAGAAGGCCUUCGGGUUGUAAACCGCUUUUGUUCGGGAAGAAAUCCUCUGGGCUAAUACCCCGGGGGGAUGACGGUACCGGAAGAAUAAGCACCGGCUAACUACGUG
Molecule: ribosomal RNA, 484 nt
Filed under: uncultured bacterium
Lineage: Bacteria
Description: partial 16S ribosomal RNA
Rfam family: Bacterial small subunit ribosomal RNA
Source: RNAcentral